AGAUUGAACGCUGGCGGCAUGCCUAACACAUGCAAGUCGAACGGGAGUAGCAAUACUCUAGUGGCGGACGGGUGAGGAAUACGUAGGAAUUUGCCCUUAAGUGGGGGAUAACCCGGGAAACCCGGAUUAAUACCGCAUGACCUCGAAAGAGCAAAGUGGGGGAUCGC
RNAcentral lists this ribosomal RNA (167 nucleotides) under uncultured soil bacterium. RNAcentral's name for it is "partial 16S ribosomal RNA". It matches the Rfam family "Bacterial small subunit ribosomal RNA", at positions 26 to 216 of the family's 1533-position model. The record is from RNAcentral.